CAGCACCUCAAGUGGUCAGGAUGAUUAUCGGGCCUAAAGCAUCCGUAGCCGGCGCUGUAAGUUUUCGGUUAAAUCUGUACGCUCAACGUACAGGCUGCCGGGAAUACUGCAGAGCUAGGGAGUGGGAGAGGUAGACGGUACUCGGUAGGAAGGGGUAAAAUCCUUUGAUCUAUUGAUGACCACCUGUGGCGAAGGCGGUCUACCAGAACGCGUCCGACGGUGAGGGAUGAAAGCUGGGGGAGCAAACCGGAUUAGAUACCCGCGUAGUCC
This 270-nucleotide ribosomal RNA is filed under the name uncultured archaeon. Its description in RNAcentral is "partial 16S ribosomal RNA". It matches the Rfam family "Archaeal small subunit ribosomal RNA", at positions 477 to 747 of the family's 1478-position model. The record is from RNAcentral.